AGUGAACGCUAGUGGCGUGCUUAACACAUGCAAGUCGAACGGACGAUAUUUGUGCUUGCACAAAUAAAGUUAGUGGCAAACGGGUGAGUAAUACAUGAGAAUUUUCCUUGCAGUACGGAAUAACUAUUGGAAACAGUAGCUAAUACCGUAUAUUGCCGAGAGGUGAAAGAUUUAUCGCUGCAAGAUAAGCCCAUGCAAGAUUAGCUUGUUGGUGAGGUAAUGGCUCACCAAGGUGAUGAUAGGUAGCCGGCCUGAGAGGGUGAUCGGCCACAUUGGGACUGAGAUACGGCCCAGACUCCUACGGGAGGCAGCAGCUAAGAAUAUUCCGCAAUGGGGGAAACCCUGACGGAGCAAUCUCUCAUGGAUGAUGAAUGUCUUCGGAUUGUAAAAUCCUUUCGGCAAGGAAGAAUGUGUAGAGUAGGAAAUGGCUUUGCAUUGACGGUACUUGCAGAAGAAGUCCCGGCUAACUACGUGCCAGCCGCCGCCGUAAGAC
Molecule: ribosomal RNA, 493 nt
Filed under: uncultured bacterium
Lineage: Bacteria
Description: bacterial SSU rRNA
Rfam family: Bacterial small subunit ribosomal RNA
Source: RNAcentral